RNAcentral lists this ribosomal RNA (460 nucleotides) under uncultured bacterium. Its description in RNAcentral is "partial 16S ribosomal RNA". It matches the Rfam family "Bacterial small subunit ribosomal RNA", at positions 338 to 795 of the family's 1533-position model. The record is from RNAcentral.
CCUACGGGAGGCAGCAGUGAGGAAUAUUGGUCAAUGGCCGGAAGGCUGAACCAGCCAUGCCGCGUGAAGGUCAGUGCCCUAUGGGCGUUAAACUUCUUUUGUGCGGGAGCAAUAAUGGUCACGUGUGGCCAGACGAGAGUACCGUACGAAUAAGCAUCAGCUAACUCCGUGCCAGCAGCCGCGGUAAUACGGGGGAUGCAAGCGUUAUCCGGAUUUAUUGGGUUUAAAGGGUGCGUAGGCUGUGAGGUAAGUCAGCGGUGAAAUGCCCCCGCUCAACGGGGUGAAGUGCCAUUGAUACUGCCUGGCUGGAAUGCGGAUGCCGUGGGAGGAAUGUGUGGUGUAGCGGUGAAAUGCAUAGAUAUCACACAGAACACCGAUUGCGAAGGCAUCUCACGAAUCCGCGAUUGACGCUGAUGCACGAAAGCGUGGGUAUCAAACAGGAUUAGAUACCCUAGUAGUC